UACGUAGGUGGCAAGCGUUGUCCGGAUUUAUUGGGCGUAAAGGGAGCGCAGGCGGUGACUUAAGUCUGAUGUGAAAGCCCACGGCUCAACCGUGGAAGGUCAUUGGAAACUGGGUCACUUGAGUGCAGAAGAGGAAAGUGGAAUUCCAUGUGUAGCGGUGAAAUGCGUAGAUAUAUGGAGGAACACCAGUGGCGAAGGCGACUUUCUGGUCUGUAACUGACGCUGAGGCUCGAAAGCGUGGGGAGCAAACAGG
Molecule: ribosomal RNA, 253 nt
Filed under: uncultured bacterium
Lineage: Bacteria
Also listed under: 1 other name
Description: partial 16S ribosomal RNA
Rfam family: Bacterial small subunit ribosomal RNA
Source: RNAcentral